Molecule: long non-coding RNA, 409 nt
Filed under: Cyanistes caeruleus (blue tit)
Lineage: Eukaryota; Metazoa; Chordata; Aves; Passeriformes; Paridae
Description: lncRNA (ENSCCEG00000021309.1)
Source: RNAcentral
GUGCUGCUAAUUCUCUCAAUUUCUUCCAGAAAUGGGAAAAUUUAUCUAUAUUAGGAAAUGCGUUCUUCCUUUCUUCAAGCAGGAUGACAGGAUCAGAAUCCCCUUGACUUUGGCAUGGCAGCAACUGCUUGGGCUGGACACCCAGCUAAGGACACAGCUCCAGGAAAGGGUUCUCAGAGUAGUUCCUACAGCUGAAGAAAGAGCCUACACCAACCCCAGGACUUGCCUGUGGGUCACCACACUGCUUUUGGAGGAGAUUUUUGAGGAGUUGUGGGACUUCAGACUCGAAGGGUUGCAUCAUGAUGAAAUCAGGCAAAACUGCUCAUCAGACAGCCAGAAUUUGCAGCUUCCAUCUGCCCCAAGCUGGACUUUGGGCUGGAGGAGUAGCUGCAGGCUGCUGAUCUCCUAA